UACGUAGGGUGCGAGCGUUGUCCGGAAUUAUUGGGCGUAAAGAGCUCGUAGGCGGUUUGUCGCGUCGUCUGUGAAAACCCGAGGCUUAACCUCGGGCCUGCAGUCGAUACGGGCAGACUAGAGUUCGGUAGGGGAGACUGGAAUUCCUGGUGUAGCGGUGAAAUGCGCAGAUAUCAGGAGGAACACCGGAGGCGAAGGCGACUUCCUGGCCUGUUCUUGACGCUGAGGCGCGAAAGCUAGGGGAGCAAACGGG
Molecule: ribosomal RNA, 253 nt
Filed under: uncultured bacterium
Lineage: Bacteria
Description: partial 16S ribosomal RNA
Rfam family: Bacterial small subunit ribosomal RNA
Source: RNAcentral